Molecule: ribosomal RNA, 253 nt
Filed under: uncultured bacterium
Lineage: Bacteria
Description: partial 16S ribosomal RNA
Rfam family: Bacterial small subunit ribosomal RNA
Source: RNAcentral
UACGUAGGGGGCAAGCGUUGUCCGGAAUCAUUGGGCGUAAAGCGCGCGUAGGCGGCCCGGUAAGUCCGCUGUGAAAGUCAAAGGCUCAACCUUUGAAUGCCGGUGGAUACUGCCAGGCUGGAGUCCGGAAGAGGCGAGUGGAAUUCCUGGUGUAGCGGUGGAAUGCGCAGAUAUCGGGAGGAACACCAAUGGCGAAGGCAGCUCGCUGGGACGUGACUGACGCUGAGACGCGAAAGCGUGGGGAGCAAACAGG